AGAUUGAACGCUGGCGGCAUGCCUUACACAUGCAAGUCGAACGGCAGCACGGGGGCAACCCUGGUGGCGAGUGGCGAACGGGUGAGUAAUGCAUCGGAACGUGCCCAGUAGUGGGGGAUAACUAGUCGAAAGAUUAGCUAAUACCGCAUACGACCUAUGGGUGAAAGCGGGGGAUUCGCAAGAACCUCGCGCUAUCGGAGCGGCCGAUGUCUGAUUAGCUAGUUGG
Molecule: ribosomal RNA, 226 nt
Filed under: uncultured soil bacterium
Lineage: Bacteria
Description: partial 16S ribosomal RNA
Rfam family: Bacterial small subunit ribosomal RNA
Source: RNAcentral